Molecule: non-coding RNA, 21 nt
Filed under: Caenorhabditis elegans
Lineage: Eukaryota; Metazoa; Nematoda; Chromadorea; Rhabditida; Rhabditidae
Source: RNAcentral
UAUUCAUUUGGCAAAUUCAAA